GACGAACGCUGGCGGCGUGCUUAACACAUGCAAGUCGAACGGAAAGGCCCUGCUUUUGUGGGGUGCUCGAGUGCCGAACGGGUGAGUAACACGUGAGUAACCUGCCCUUGACUUUGGGAUAACUUCAGGAAACUGGGGCUAAUACCGGAUAGGAGCUCCUGCUGCAUGGUGGGGGUUGGAAAGUUUCGGCGGUUGGGGAUGGACUCGCGGCUUAUCAGCUUGUUGGUGGGGUAGUGGCUUACCAAGGCUUUGACGGGUAGCCGGCCUGAGAGGGUGACCGGCCACAUUGGGACUGAGAUACGGCCCAGACUCCUACGGGAGGCAGCAGUGGGGAAUAUUGCACAAUGGGCGGAAGCCUGAGGCAGCAACGCCGCGUGCGGGAUGACGGCCUUCGGGUUAUAAACCGCUUUCGCCUGUGACGAAGCGUGAGUGACGGUAAUGGGUAAAGAAGCACCGGCUAACUACGUG
This 468-nucleotide ribosomal RNA is filed under the name uncultured bacterium. RNAcentral's name for it is "partial 16S ribosomal RNA". It matches the Rfam family "Bacterial small subunit ribosomal RNA", at positions 28 to 507 of the family's 1533-position model. The record is from RNAcentral.